GAUGAACGCUGGCGGCGUGCCUAAUACAUGCAAGUCGAACGCAUUGUGGUUGAAAUGAUAUGAAGAACUUGUUCAGAUUUGAUUUUCAACAUUGCAAUGAGUGGCGAACGGGUGAGUAACACGUGGGAAACCUACCUCUUAGCAGGGGAUAACAUUUGGAAACAAAUGCUAAUACCGUAUAAUAAUUAAAACCGCAUGGUUUUAGUUUAAAAGAUGGUCUUGCUAUCACUAAGAGAUGGUCCCGCGGUGUAUUAGUUAGUUGGUGAGGUAAUGGCUCACCAAGACAAUGAUACAUAGCCGAGUUGAGAGACUGACCGGCCACAAUGGGACUGAGACACGGCCCAUACUCCUACGGGAGGCAGCAGUAGGGAAUCUUCCACAAUGGACGAAAGUCUGAUGGAGCAACGCCGCGUGUGUGAUGAAGGGUUUCGGCGUCGUAAAACACUGUUGUAAGAGAAGAAUGACAGUUGAGAGUAACUGUUC
Molecule: ribosomal RNA, 483 nt
Filed under: uncultured bacterium
Lineage: Bacteria
Description: bacterial SSU rRNA
Rfam family: Bacterial small subunit ribosomal RNA
Source: RNAcentral